GCAAGUCGAACGAUGAAGCCCUGCUUGCAGGGUGAAUUAGUGGCGAACGGGUGAGUAAUAUAUAGCUAACCUGCCCCUUAGAGAGGGACAACAGUUGGAAACGACUGCUAAUACCUCAUACUCCUUUCUGGCAUAUGUCAGAUUGGGAAAUGCUCCGGUGCUAAGGGAUGGGGCUUUACGGUAUCAGGUAGUUGGUGGGGUAAGAGCCUACCAAGCCUAUGACGCCUAGCUGGUCUGAGAGGAUGAAC
Molecule: ribosomal RNA, 248 nt
Filed under: uncultured bacterium
Lineage: Bacteria
Description: partial 16S ribosomal RNA
Rfam family: Bacterial small subunit ribosomal RNA
Source: RNAcentral